Long non-coding RNA from Lucilia sericata (common green bottle fly), 2071 nucleotides. RefSeq lists it as uncharacterized. The record is from RefSeq and is a predicted model, not a curated record. NCBI's taxonomy places the organism in Eukaryota, Metazoa, Arthropoda, Insecta, Diptera, Calliphoridae. The transcript is spliced from 8 exons.
GUUUGAAUGAAUUGGAAGGGAAGGAGAGAGAAUGCCAAAAAUACGCAUUUAUCAAUAUUUUUCAAUGGCGGUGGUCAACCAUAAUUCCAUUUUGGUGGAAUUAUGGAAUGUGGCUACCGUUAUCAAUUGCGUGUGUGGAGUAAUUUUUCAUGUUGGACAACAAUAAGAUUAAAAUUCAAAAGGACCUUAAACUUCCAACAGGCCUUUGCUUCCUUUAAGGAAUCGUAAGAUUAUCCAUCCAACCUUUGGGAAAACGGAAAUGAAAGACCUGGACCUUAAUGAUGACUCAGGUUCUUGGAAUUCAAGUGCCCUUGAGAAGGACGAACCGAAGGGACUAAAACACAACUGAGAUGCCAACAUCGGUGAAAUCCAUGGGAAUUGGCAACUAUUUAUUACAACAACAAGAUCAUGAGAGGCAAAUUGAGAUGGUGAAGCAGAAAAUCCGAUUUUUUUUAUCACGUAGUCGAUGGCCAAGGGCUCCACCUUCUUCAUUAGCCAAAAGAAAUAAAAAGGACCGACAUUUUGGCCAUUAGGGACCGAGAAACAUCGAUUGUUCCUACCACUGCUUAAAGCAGAAGUUCAAAUACUUAAUUACACGGACUCGCAUGUUGCGAUGAUAGGUGACGGAUACGGAAAAAUUCAGGAAUGAACAUUUAAAUUUAUACAUCAAAUAGAUCUAAAUUCUUAUGACGAUUUUUUGCAAAAAACAAAAAAAUAUAUUGAAACUUACAUACCUGAGACGAAUCCUCUACAACCAACGCUAAAAUACGAAUUAUUUCAAACUAUAGAUUUAUUAGAGACACUUAAGAACUACGCACCAAAAAGAAAAUCUAGAUCAAUUAAUACAUUAGGAAAAAUUUGGAAAAUUAUUGCCGGAUCCCCCGACCAUGAUGACGCAGAAUAUAUUUACAAAACACUAGAUGAGCUAACAGAUAAUAAUAAUAAACAAGUAAUAAUUAACACUGACUUCAGUAAUCAAUUAAAUAAUAUCACCAAACUUAUUAACACAUUUUCUAAUUCCAUAAGAAAAGAUAAUUUUAUUUUAAAUGAAAAUAUUGAAAUAUUAUCAAAUAAAAUUAGAUUAGCUAAAGAAGGAAUCAUAAACGUUAAACAUGCCAUACAAUGGGCAAAAUAUAAUAUAAUAAACUCGUAUUUGUUAAACAAAAAAGAAAUGAAUUUUGUAAUUAACCAAUUAAAAAAAGAAAACAUGCCUUUUAACAAUAUUGAAGAAGCUUUAGAAUUAUCGAACAUAAAUGUUCUAAGUAAUAACACAAAUAUUUUAUACAUAUAUCAUUAAAAUCCCUAUUACAAGUGAAAUAUUAUAUAAAAAACUUAUUGUAAAACCAAUUAUAAAGAAUAAUACUAUAAUAAAUUUGAAUUUUACAGAAAUAUUUUUGAAUGAAAAUGAAACUUAUGCAAUAAAAGAAAAUUGUAAAAUUUAUAACAAAAUUGAAAUUUGUAAAAAAAUACAUUUAUUAGAUCUAAGUAAAGAUAAUUGUAUAACAAAUAUUAUAUUUAAUAAGCAAUCCUCAUGCACAAGAAGCAAUGUUCACCAUAUUCCUCGUGUUGAAGAAAUCGCAGACGGGAUAAUACUACUGAAUGAUGUUAAUACAACUAUUUUAACAGAAACAAUAACCUAUAAAUUAUAUGGAACAUUUAUUAUUAAAUUUGACAAUACAACUAUAAAAAUAGAUGACAAAAUAUAUCAGAACUUAGAAAAGAACCUGAGCAUAUUGUCAUUAGAAUCACUCCAAGAGCUACAUUUAAACAACAUAAAAGCGAUACAUAAUAUUAAAAGAGAAGCAUGGGUUAGAAAUAUUGUGAUAUCCCUUACCCUCUUAGGCACCGUCAGCCUUACAAUUUGGACACUGAAGAGAUCACAGAAGAAACCUAUAACAACAUUCAUUUUGCAACCCACCAAAAAUUUACACGUUGAAAACAAGUAAGAAAGUAUAGUCGGGCGAGGCCGACCAUAUGAUACCCUACACCAGUUAUGAAUAUUAAAUGUGAUUUAUUUUUCAUAGUAAAGCAUUUAUUUUCAAUAUUCCCUUGUUCCGAUACAUUUUAGCAA